RNAcentral lists this long non-coding RNA (1232 nucleotides) under Xyrichtys novacula (pearly razorfish). The record is from RNAcentral. Lineage: Eukaryota; Metazoa; Chordata; Actinopteri; Labriformes; Labridae.
GUUGAACUAUAGCUCGAGAUUUUAAACAAUCGAGGAAGAAGAACAACCGUUGGCGGGAGAAACAAACUGAAAUCAGCGAAGCAAACUUUAUUUCGACGUCUUUAUGAUAAAACAGCACAAAAUGACGGAACAGUCGGCAGAAAUCCUUAUUUUGAAGAUGAGUUUAGGUGUGUUUAUAACAGCCUUACAAAUAUCACCUCUAAUUACAACACUAUCUGAAGUGCUAACAGCGCCACCCGCUGUCUCACAGGCUAACAGCUAAGCUAAUCCGAACCGUCCGGCUCCUGAAGGACCGAAACCGAUCCAGGAGGACCUGAACAAUCACAGCUGUGUCCGGUCUGCUCACUGUGCUGCUGUUUAGAGCCACGAAAAUGGAUUAACGUCUGAUUUAAGGUAAGAAAUGAGAUAAAGUGUAGCUGAUGUACCGGCGUUAGUUUUACUGGACUGUCAUACCAUAGCACAGUAGGGAAGAGUGAUGAUCCAUGUUUCAUAUUUCGGAUCACAUCAUCAAGUCAAUCCUAGUUUUGUCUCUAACUCGUGUCUCUGCAGAUAUUUCAGGAUGUUGUUAAUCCCUGCAAACCAACAGAAUGAGUGUAAACAGAACUGUCAUCUUCAGAAUAUAGCAGGACAAAUAAAGGGGUCUCCUGUGGUCAACUUACCCCGUGUAUGGGGGGGUAAGUUGACCAUAGGAGCGGGGUAAAUUGAGCCGUAUCCCUCCAGCUAAAAAAGCUGUUUUAUACAAAAAAAAACAUUUGAAGAUGAGAAUGUCUCUAAGUGAUUGAGAACAUUCACAGAUCUAUAUUUUAGAAAAGAAAAAGUCAAACAUUUCAACAAUCUGAAGGUAAACUCUGAUCAUCAGACUCCUUCACUUUCUCUGUUCCCCCUGAACUACUAUGAUGACUUUAUUAGUCCUCCAGGAUAAAAUGGUGGACUUUUAGAUUUUUUACCUCAUGUUGGAGCUCAUAGUUACCACAGUUGAUGUAGAAAACUCAUUUAAAAUGAUCUUUUUUUGUUUGUUUCACUUCGAAAAUGUUCGGCCAUUUGAAAAUUUCCCCGACUUAUCCUGUAGAUGGCGCUACAGCGACUUCAUGCCAUUCUUCAUCCCCUAACUACCUCACAGCACAGCAGAGUGACGGAUCUGAAGCAGCAGCUCAGGGACACGGAGGAGAGUGGUCCGCCUCAACGGGAAAUAAACCAGUUUGUGAAAAACACAAUAAGUCAACAAGUUUCAG